UUUUCGUACAAUAAUGUAAAUACAUACAUUAUAUUACAAUAACAUUAAGGGGAUAGUUCCCCUUAGUCAUGAUACUCUCGUGAACACGUGUCGAAGACUGAAACGGAAGUGAAGAAACUGUUGAACAAAGUUGUUUUUUCUUAGCGCACAAAAAGUAUUCUCGUAUCUUCAUAAAAUUACGUUUAAACCACUGAUGUCACAUGGACUAUUUUAAGGAUGUCCGUAUACCUUUCUGAACCUUGAACAUGUCAGUCGCAUUGCUGACAGAAAGCUCUCAGAUUUCAUCAAAAACAUCUUAAUUUGUUUUCCGAAGACGAAUGAAGGUCUUACGGGUUUGGCACUACAUGAAGGCCAGAAGAGAUUAAAAAAAGUGAGAGGAAGUGACAAUACGGAAGCGGUCUGUCCUACAGAUUUCCUCUGAGGUCCCAGCCAGGAACUUGUUUUGGAAUCCGGGAGUCUGCUGCUGCCUCCACGUUUUUCAGUCAGCACUCACCUCACAAGCUACAUCCUGUGACUCACCAUAUCAGAGUCAUGUUGAGCAGUUACAGUUCCUGGCCCGGCUUUUUCCUGAUUCCAUCAGCGUGACCUACAUACAUCAAAAGAAUGGAUUCUGAAAGUCAUUCACAGUCUUUCAGGAUGCCACUCAAAGAUUUAGACCAUGUGUACUUUUUCACUUUUUCCUUGGUGUCCCCGUGACUUACUGUUCACCAAACAUAACCUUUCAAACUCCCACUCACCAAGUUUUCAGAAAACAUACACUGCUUCCCCCAAACUGACCACAAAGAAAAACAAUACUUCUGGAUGGAUAUUUGCUGUUUCACCUUCUAUUGUGAGAGAGAAAACACUAUAAGAACCAUUUUAUCCCAAGAGUGGGUUAUUCAACAGUUUAAGUUUAAAAACAGAAUUUUUCUACAAAGUGCAGUUUUGAAUGACUUUUGCACCAGAUACAAACCCUAAUGGCCCUUGCUGGGCAUGAAUAUCUGUGAACCAGACUGGAGAUAUUAUCGUCAUACAAAUUACAGUGAUGAAACAUCAAUAGGUGUGCAACUCAGUCGUGUAACUCAGUACGUCCUAAUGACAUCACUAAAC
Molecule: long non-coding RNA, 1089 nt
Organism: Cyprinus carpio carpio
Lineage: Eukaryota; Metazoa; Chordata; Actinopteri; Cypriniformes; Cyprinidae
Source: Ensembl